Molecule: long non-coding RNA, 410 nt
Filed under: Phaseolus vulgaris (common bean)
Lineage: Eukaryota; Viridiplantae; Streptophyta; Magnoliopsida; Fabales; Fabaceae
Description: long non-coding RNA (PVUL_LNC001823)
Source: RNAcentral
ACCUACCAUCACAAACGUUAACACUCAACAAAAACACUACAACAUACUACUACUUGGUUACAUUUUAAGGAGGAAGAUGAAGAACACAAAUAAUAAUUUCCAAAUUUAAGAGGAAAUAAGAAAUUUCUGAGAGUGUAUUGGUGGUUAAAACAUGAAGUUAUAAAAUGGAAAAAAAUGUUUUGACAGUUGGUGCAGAGUUUUUUAAGGAAAUGUGAUGUGGAAGAGUAAGGGGAAAACAAAAGAAAGAUGAAAGUAUAUUAUUAAAAAGUAAAGAGAGAUGAGAGGUGGGUGAGGCCCUACGGUUUGAAUGUGUAUCAAACGCAACUAUCCUAAACUCCAACUUUCCCAUGACUCUGACAACUGACAACCUCACUUUGAGAUAGAGCCACACUGUUCUCCGCCUAUCUCGC